CGGAGGGGGCGAGCGAGACCCCGAGCGGAGAGAAAGGCCCGCGGAGACAGACCGAGAGCGAGCGCGGCCGGCCGGGCGGGCCUGACGCACGGGGAAGGCCGAGGCGGCCGGGCGGGGCGGCCGCGAGGGACGGAGGCAGGAGACGGGCAGAGCGAGGGGAAGAAAGAAAGGGCGUCCGCCCGCCCGGGGAUCCCGAGGCGAAGCGCGGCGUCGGCGGGAAGGCCUUCCAGUGCACCACUGCUGCCCCACCGCCCACCCCAAGACACACGCCACUGGCUGAUUAAGGAAAGAUCUGAUUUCUCAUCAAUUGUUUAUAGAAGAUCAAUCAGAAAAGGUGAGAGACAGAGGUUUAUGGAAACGCCUCUAACAGUGGUGCGUGUAUGGACUGUGCCUUUGCCUGGAUUGGAACGCAAACUAGGUCCAAACACUGGAGCUGCAGGGCCCGAGGCCCAGGAAUUGCUGAAUGACGGAGCUGCUGGGCCAGGCUGAUGUCUUGAACAGGCCUUGGGAGCAUUUGGCUUUCUCCACAGAGACAGCACAGGAGGACUUCUCAGCCUUGAGGGACCCAGUGUGUGUCUCCUGCCAGGAGAGGCCUCCUGGUCUCCCAUUUCCAUAGUCUUCUUCAAAAAGGGUUUUCUAUCCUUCCCCCAACUUCAUCUGAACGGAAAAGAUCACUUCUCUUGUUGGAAGGAGAAAGGAGGCCUAAAACAAAGGUGUAUUUCUGCUUGUAUCACAGAUCCUAUGCCUUCUCUCUGCUCCUUCUGGCUCCCUCCUCAGCCCCUCGGAUAAGAUUUGCUCCCAGCAGAGCGUGUGCCUCUUUCCUGUCAAAACUAGCCCUGGAGAGUAGGCCAUGGAAGGGAAUUCAUGCUGAGGUAGUAAUGAUUAGUAUUAACUUUGAAGAGCAUUUGUAUUUUAUCCUGGGAAAACCUCAUUAAAAGGUGAAACUACAGCAUGAACUUAGAGGUUGUAGACAGUAGGUGGGAGCUCAUGGAAGGGCAGUGGAGCUUCUUGGCCCGUUAAAAUAACAGUCCACAAAGGUGGCAGCUUACUGCAGUUCAUCUCAGAUAUGAGAUCGUACAUGAAUAUAUGAACAUAAUUUAAUAUAAUUUUAACUGUCACCACCUAAACUGGUUGAUUCUAGCUUCUCGGAAAGCUAGAGAUUUAGAGUCAAAUGGUAGAACCAAAGGAAAUGAUCAUCAUUUGGCCUUUCAGAAGAAAGUUUCAAUCUCUUUUGGCUUUCCUCCAGGGACUCUGAACAGGACACUGAGUGGCUGAAAAGCCAAUGUUUUCAAUGUAUCAUAACUGCAAUCAGUCCUAUGUGUUAAUUUUUGGGAAAGGCUAAGUUAUAAAAACUUUCAUAUUGAGGGGAGCACCUCUAUGGCUCUGUGGGCUUUUUGUUUUCUUCUUCUUUCUUCUUCUUCUUCUUCCAAAGUUUUUAUUUAUUUAUUCAUGAGAGACACAGAGAAAGAGAGAGGCAGAGACAUAGGCA
Molecule: long non-coding RNA, 1489 nt
Filed under: Canis lupus dingo (dingo)
Lineage: Eukaryota; Metazoa; Chordata; Mammalia; Carnivora; Canidae
Description: lncRNA (ENSCAFG00020026451.1)
Source: RNAcentral